This 352-nucleotide long non-coding RNA is filed under the name Nicotiana tabacum (common tobacco). RNAcentral describes it as "long non-coding RNA (NTAB_LNC017091)". Lineage: Eukaryota; Viridiplantae; Streptophyta; Magnoliopsida; Solanales; Solanaceae. The record is from RNAcentral.
CUCAAAACUCCUUGAGCCAAUACGUAGACCCCAGUCCAAUUGACACCAGUCAAACAAUCGAUUCUACAACAACCGGUGUAUUUUAAUCAAUUUUAAAGUACUACACCUAAUUAUGAAGUUUAUUGAUGAUAUAGAGGAAGAAGGGAAUUAGCUAUUCAAUUCUUACAUAUUACUACUUUAGGAUAAUUGAAAAUAGGAAAAAUUUAUGUACCUGAGUUCAAGAAUUAGUGAUUUGUAAAGAAACCUAGAUUUUCUGUUGCCCGGCUCUCUGUUUCGUGAGUAAAUAAGACGUGCUUUUGCCUUCUGUCUUCGUUUACGAGAAUGACAGAACCUUAGGUUCUGUUAUUUGGCC